This 223-nucleotide ribosomal RNA is filed under the name uncultured bacterium. RNAcentral describes it as "partial 16S ribosomal RNA". It matches the Rfam family "Bacterial small subunit ribosomal RNA", at positions 1278 to 1500 of the family's 1533-position model. The record is from RNAcentral.
AAAGCCAAUCUCAGUUCGGAUUGUAGGCUGCAACUCGCCUACAUGAAGUUGGAAUCGCUAGUAAUCGCGAAUCAGAAUGUCGCGGUGAAUACGUUCCCGGGUCUUGUACACACCGCCCGUCACACCACGAGAGUUUACAACACCCGAAGUCAGUGGCCUAACCGCAAGGAGGGAGCUGCCUAAGGUGGGGUAGAUGAUUGGGGUGAAGUCGUAACAAGGUAUC